This 670-nucleotide ribosomal RNA is filed under the name uncultured Lactarius. RNAcentral describes it as "eukaryotic LSU rRNA". The stretch from base 220 to 373 matches the Rfam family "5.8S ribosomal RNA". The record is from RNAcentral. Lineage: Eukaryota; Fungi; Basidiomycota; Agaricomycetes; Russulales; Russulaceae.
CAUUAUCGUAACAAAAGCGUGAGAGGCGCAUGAAGGCUGUCGCCGGCUCGAAAGGGUCGUGCACGUCUGAAGGCGUCCUCUUGCGUGAAAUCCAUCUCACCCUUUUGUGCACCACCGCGUGGGCCCCCUCUGCUCGAGAGGGCUCGCGUUUUUAUACAAACCCCCUUUGUAAUAGUGUAGAAUGACACAACUUGUUUUGCGAUGACACGCAAUCAAUACAACUUUCAACAACGGAUCUCUUGGCUCUCGCAUCGAUGAAGAACGCAGCGAAAUGCGAUACGUAAUGUGAAUUGCAGAAUUCAGUGAAUCAUCGAAUCUUUGAACGCACCUUGCGCCCCUUGGUACUCCGAGGGGCACACCCGUUUGAGUGUCGUGAAAUUCUCAACCUCCUUGGUUUCUUCUGGAAGCCAAAGGGGGCUUGGACUUUGGAGGUCUUUGCUGGAACAUAAAAGCCAGCUCCUCUUAAAUGGAUUAGCAGGGUCCCCUUUGCCGAUCCUGGGCGUGUGAUAAGAUACCUCCGCGUCUUUGAAUUUGGCUCUGUUGCAUUUUGGGACCCGCUUCCAAUCGUCUCUCGACGAGACAACGUUCGAGCUUGCCUCGACCACAAACCCUUGACCUCAAAUCGGGUGAGACUACCCGCUGAACUUAAGCAUAUCAAUAAGCGGAGGAA